This 110-nucleotide transfer RNA is filed under the name Moniliophthora perniciosa FA553. It matches the Rfam family "tRNA". From Rfam's summary of the family: Transfer RNA (tRNA) molecules are approximately 80 nucleotides in length. Their secondary structure includes four short double-helical elements and three loops (D, anti-codon, and T loops). Further hydrogen bonds mediate the characteristic L-shaped molecular structure. tRNAs have two regions of fundamental functional importance: the anti-codon, which is responsible for specific mRNA codon recognition, and the 3' end, to which the tRNAs corresponding amino acid is attached (by aminoacyl-tRNA synthetases). tRNAs cope with the degeneracy of the genetic code in two manners: having more than one tRNA (with a specific anti-codon) for a particular amino acid; and 'wobble' base-pairing, i.e. permitting non-standard base-pairing at the 3rd anti-codon position. Lineage: Eukaryota; Fungi; Basidiomycota; Agaricomycetes; Agaricales; Marasmiaceae. The record is from Rfam by way of RNAcentral.
GCUUCCUUGGCUCAGUUGGCUAGAGCGCAGGUCUCAUAGCAUUGUCUAUGACACUUGGUAAUUGACCAAUGGCAAUCCUGAGGUCGCAAGUUCGAGCCUUGCAGGGAGCA